AUUGAACGCUGGCGGCAUGCCUUACACAUGCAAGUCGAACGACCGCACGGGUGCUUGCACCUGGUGGCGAUUGGCGAACGGGGGAGUAUUACAUCUGGACAUGUCCUGUAGUGGACGAUAGCCCGUCCGAAGCACGAUUACUACCGCAGACGAUUUACGUAAGAAACCUGGUGACCUUCGGGCCUCGGGCUUUGGUGUCAGUCGUAGGCGGAUUAGCUAGUUGGUAGGGUAAAGGCCUACCAAGGCGACGAUCAGUAGCCGAUCUGAGAGGGCGACCAGCCACACUGGGACUGAGACACGGCCCAGACUCCUACGGGAGGCAGCAGUGGGGAAUUUUGGGCAAAGGGCGAAAGCCUGAUGCAGCAACGCCGCGUGAGUGAAGAAGGUCUUCGGGUUGUAAAGCUCUGUUAUCCGGAAAGAAAAUAUGUGCAAGAAUACGGUCAGGGCAUGACGGUACCGAAUGAGAAAGCAACGGCUAACUACGUG
Molecule: ribosomal RNA, 486 nt
Filed under: uncultured bacterium
Lineage: Bacteria
Description: partial 16S ribosomal RNA
Rfam family: Bacterial small subunit ribosomal RNA
Source: RNAcentral